CAGUCGCCACGGGAAUACGAAGGGUGCAAGCGUUAAUCGGAAUUACUGGGCGUAAAGCGCGCGUAGGUGGUUUGGUAAGAUGGAUGUGAAAUCCCCGGGCUCAACCUGGGAACUGCAUCCAUAACUGCCUGACUAGAGUACGGUAGAGGGUGGUGGAAUUUCCUGUGUAGCGGUGAAAUGCGUAGAUAUAGGAAGGAACACCAGUGGCGAAGGCGACCACCUGGACUGAUACUGACACUGAGGUGCGAAAGCGUGGGGAGCAAACAGGAUUAGAUACCCGCGUAGUCCCUGUCUCUUAUAA
This 301-nucleotide ribosomal RNA is filed under the name uncultured bacterium. RNAcentral's name for it is "partial 16S ribosomal RNA". It matches the Rfam family "Bacterial small subunit ribosomal RNA", at positions 509 to 809 of the family's 1533-position model. The record is from RNAcentral.